Molecule: RNA transcript, 2866 nt
Organism: Magnolia sinica
Lineage: Eukaryota; Viridiplantae; Streptophyta; Magnoliopsida; Magnoliales; Magnoliaceae
Exons: 4
Source: RefSeq, a predicted model, not a curated record
ACUUCACCACCACCACAGCUCUCUUUAUAGCACUCACCCAUGAAAAGCAUCACACGAAAAAGAUAAAAAUGGCCACACCCUUCUCUCUCUGUCCACCUCUCAUCUCCUUUCUCUCUCCAACAUCUCACUCCUCUCGUCAACCGUUGAAGCCCUCUCUCCCUUUCUCCUCUUUUCCAAUCUUACUCUCAACAUACCAUUCAAAGAAGACAAUUUUCUGCCCAUCCCCAACUCACAAAACCUCACAAAAAUCCACCCCAAAUUUGCGAAUUUCAGCCACAUCAGGGGAGGUUCUUCCUUCAGACACCCCAAUAGAGAAAACCCAACAGAUAGUUUCCAGUGAUGAUGCUUCUGGUUCCACUAUUAUCUCAGCUCUUCUCUUCUUUGCCUUUGUUGGGCUCUCUAUUCUCACCGUAGGGGUUAUCUACAUAGCUGUGACAGAUUUCUUGCAGAAAAGAGAGAGGGAGAAGUUUGAGAAGGAAGAGACCGCCAAGAAGAAAAAGAGUGGGAAGAAAGGGAAGGUGAAAGCCCGGGCUGGCCCAAGAGGCUUUGGGCAAAAGAUAGAAGAAGAUGAUGAUUAGUUUUACACAUUUUUUCCAGCUUCUACCUAGUUUUCAAUGGCCGUCUUGAUGAGAACCUCCAAAGCUGGGAUUGGAGCAACUGAAGACGGUGGGAUUUCGAUCAGAUUUGAAGGAAGAGAACCCAUUGCACUCAUCUUGAAAGGAACUCCAAAUCAGCCAUUAAAGCUGCAUCAAGAACAUUGAGGAUGUAUGGUGCAAGUGCCACACAUUGAUUCCCAGGUUCCUUUCACAUGAAGCUCAAAUGCAAAUGCAGCUACAUGCUUGAGCGGUGCUUUGGGUCACCCAGCCAUGUACUGGUUCGAAAGUCAGGCCUGUCAACUUAUUGGAUCGGUUGGACAUGUAUGAAAAUGAUGGAUAGCUUUAAAAAAUGUGGACCUGAUGAGUGGACCAGCCUGAUUUUGGGCCGGUCAUGUACAUGGACACCGAAGCAUGGGUCAGGCACUGACUCUUCGGAAUGUUGAUGAUGUCCAGAGGAGCUUUGUACUUUCAAAACAAUUUCUUAUAUGGGGAAUGAUCACAUACAUCCGUGAUUAGCAUACAUUCAACAAGAUUGAAGCCGACCACUGAUAUGUAUCUAGAAUCCAAACCGUGCAUCUCGCUAGACUCCUAAGAAUCAACACAAUCCAAAACUUAGUAGGAACAACCACAACCAUGCCUUAAACCUCUAUAUUCACUUGUCGUGGCCCACUUGAGUUUUCGAGUAGCGUAAGUUUCAGUGUUUCCGAUGUUGGCUGGGUAAAAGGACGACUCAGUGGAGGGCCAUGAUCGCACAAAUUUGGGCCAAAGGGGUAGCUUGUAAUGAACAUAACUUUGUGGCGUGUUAUCCAUUUCACGUGGAUUAUAUACCAUUGGAAAGCUAACCAUAAGCUCUAUGCCCUAGCCAAUCACUCAAAUGUUCAUUGGCCCCAAAUGACUUUACAAAAUUCAAUCAUUUUAAGAGUCAAAUUAGUUUUUGAAAUUAGAACUUACUAUUUUAGUGAGUUCCAUCUUUUGCUAUUUUAGGGUUUUAAGAGUCCGGUUGUGUCCAGAGUCAUUGUUUUAGUCAUCCAAGAGUUGCUUACGAGUUUAGAUAGGUUUAGGUAUUCUUUAAAUAUUUUUAGUAAUUUUACUAUUUUGGAAAAGUCUUCUAUUAUGAGUCAGAUUAUAACUCUAGGGCCUCUUUUGCUUAUGUAAGGUCAUCAAACAUGCUGUAAUCAACACUUUUCAUCAAUAAUAACACUUCCCAUUUUUCAUUUUAGAGAAUGACAUUUUUUAAUGCAAAAUUCCUCAUAAACUCAAAUUUUAUCAGAUAAUACCUGGACUACCGAACUCAUGGGGUGAUGUUUUUUGAGUGCUAAAAUUACCAAAUUUCCUUGUUGAUUUUAUUUUAUUUUUUUUCCUUUUCUUUUAAAAGUACUGAAGUCGGAAUUGUAGGGCCUACAUGGUAUGUGCAUAACAUCCAACCCGUCUAACAUAUGAACACACCAUGGUAACCACACGGACCAAAAGUCUCGCCAAUCGUGUUGUCAAAUAUGCUACACAUGGAUUGGGAUGUUUUUGAGUGGUUUAUAUUAUUUUUCUUAUGGUUUGGCCCUCAUGGUUGGAUCAAACAUAUUCUUAAUUUGUUUGUAAUCACGUUAGGGUGCAUUUGUCGGAUGAGUUGGAUGUCAAACACAUUUCCAUGGGCCCCAUGCUUCUAUAACCAAACUACCCCUAUUUAUGAAUCGUAUCCACCUAACACAUGCGUGCACGCACACACACAUGCAUGUAUCGGUUCUUCUUAUAAAUUGCAUACAUGAAAUGGAGGUAAGGGCCCAUUUUAACACCUUCCAAAGUUUUGUUUGAUGUCUAACUGUCGUUUUGAUCCAAACAAUAGUUGAUGUUGUGUGUUUGGAUACACUUUGCAAACGCUAUCUCAUGCCUGCCAAACCAACCCCAAUGGUUUUUGCCUAGUCAACCAAAAAAGCAAGCUCGAAAAUCUUUUUUCCCAUACACCAUCUAUGUUUGGAUGCAACUUCUUCAAAAUGGGAUUUAUUGCCAAAAAAUGAUGGGUCCCAGAAGGAAGAUUGUGGGUGGGAUCUAAACAUUGUCAUUGGUGCAUCCAAACGGCCCUAAGUGUGUAUUGCAGUUGUUGGUCUAUUUGAAAAGUAGCCUUUCUAAUGCCUAUUUCCAGGAGUGGAGGAUGAAAUGAGGUUCGCAAAAGUGCAUCCAAACACACAAUAAGAAAAGCAGCUUGGCUCAAAAUUGCAUUUAAGCCUCAAAUGUGCUUCUUGAGGGUGCUUCCAAAGGAGCCCUAAAUUCAAAUUAAA